AUGUGUGAGGGUUUCCUGGGCUGUCGACCGCACUGGGGUUUAUUCAAGCACAUAUUCACGUGUCGCUCUCAGACCGUGAAGAAGGCGAUCCCAGGCGAUGAAAGGACCCGAGUCGUCCAAAUGUGUGGGGGUCUGGGCAUCCAGGUGAGGAAUAAGAGCACUUUCCCGCCCAUGACCUUCCUCGAGUCAGUCAGAGGCUGGCAGUCGACCUGGUUCUACUGCCAGGACCAGUCGACGCCGGGGCAGUCGAGUGGACUCCCACAGUUUACCAUGGACCGAGUGAACAAGCCAUCCUCUCUGAAGUUGAUUCCGGAGGAGAAAGCUGACGUGAAGAUGUUGAUGGAGCGCGUGGUGCAGUUGGUUCGGGAGGGAGUGACGGGCAUGGACCUCCUGGAGGUCUUCCUCAGGCGUCGCAUCCAGCCCCUUCAGUUUCGGAGCCACUGCAUGUGGUUGUACUGUGGGACUGAAGACGAGACUCGAGUCCAUCCAGAAGCAGUCGACGAUGUCGCUCUGGAAAGAUGGAUGGUAGCCGUUACCGGGAACAAGGACAACCCACGCGGAGCCAGAAGGAUUCCUCCACUCGACCACCACAACGAUCCAAACAAGGUACACUUGCUCUGCUCUCCACUGCGUUCUUGUCGCAUUCAUUUCUGUUUACUCUGCCGACUGGUCGACUGA
RNAcentral lists this ribosomal RNA (678 nucleotides) under Triticum aestivum (bread wheat). RNAcentral describes it as "partial small subunit ribosomal RNA". The record is from RNAcentral. Lineage: Eukaryota; Viridiplantae; Streptophyta; Magnoliopsida; Poales; Poaceae.